RNAcentral lists this microRNA precursor (126 nucleotides) under Brassica napus (rape). Its description in RNAcentral is "MIR9563 microRNA precursor family". It matches the Rfam family "MIR9563 microRNA precursor family". The record is from Rfam by way of RNAcentral. Lineage: Eukaryota; Viridiplantae; Streptophyta; Magnoliopsida; Brassicales; Brassicaceae.
GGAAUAUAAAAAUCCGUCUUUUAACUUUUAACUAAAAAUAACUAAGAACCGGUUCUUAAAUAAGAUAUUUAAGAACCGGUUUAUAGCUCUUUUUAGUAAAAAUUAAGAGACGAGUUAUUAUAUUCC